This 526-nucleotide ribosomal RNA is filed under the name uncultured bacterium. Its description in RNAcentral is "bacterial SSU rRNA". It matches the Rfam family "Bacterial small subunit ribosomal RNA", at positions 88 to 610 of the family's 1533-position model. The record is from RNAcentral.
GUGACGAGCGGCGGACGGGUGAGUAAUGUCUGGGAAACUGCCUGAUGGAGGGGGAUAACUACUGGAAACGGUAGCUAAUACCGCAUAACGUCGCAAGACCAAAGAGGGGGACCUUCGGGCCUCUUGCCAUCAGAUGUGCCCAGAUGGGAUUAGCUAGUAGGUGGGGUAACGGCUCACCUAGGCGACGAUCCCUAGCUGGUCUGAGAGGAUGACCAGCCACACUGGAACUGAGACACGGUCCAGACUCCUACGGGAGGCAGCAGUGGGGAAUAUUGCACAAUGGGCGCAAGCCUGAUGCAGCCAUGCCGCGUGUAUGAAGAAGGCCUUCGGGUUGUAAAGUACUUUCAGCGGGGAGGAAGGCGAUGAGGUUAAUAACCUCGUCGAUUGACGUUACCCGCAGAAGAAGCACCGGCUAACUCCGUGCCAGCAGCCGCGGUAAUACGGAGGGUGCAAGCGUUAAUCGGAAUUACUGGGCGUAAAGCGCACGCAGGCGGUCUGUCAAGUCGGAUGUGAAAUCCCCGGGCUC